This 76-nucleotide transfer RNA is filed under the name Anaerovibrio lipolyticus. Its description in RNAcentral is "tRNA-Ala". It matches the Rfam family "tRNA". From Rfam's summary of the family: Transfer RNA (tRNA) molecules are approximately 80 nucleotides in length. Their secondary structure includes four short double-helical elements and three loops (D, anti-codon, and T loops). RNAcentral also lists the same sequence under 3 other names. The record is from RNAcentral. Lineage: Bacteria; Bacillati; Bacillota; Negativicutes; Selenomonadales; Selenomonadaceae.
GGGGGCGUAGCUCAGCUGGGAGAGCACAUGCCUGGCAGGCAUGGGGUCAGGGGUUCAAGCCCCCUCGUCUCCACCA